CUGCCCAAUGAGGAAUUAAAUGGCCGCGGUAUUUUGACCGUGCAAAGGUAGCAUAAUCAUUAGUUUUUUAAUUGAAAGCUGGAAUGAAAGGUUGGAUGAGAAAAUAACUGUCUCAAAUUAAAUUAUUUUGAAUUUUAUUUUUAAGUAAGAAAGCUUAAAUAAAAAUAGAAGACGAGAAGACCCUAUAGAGUUUUAUAUAUUUAUAUUGAAAAGAGAUGUUUAGAAUUUAUUUUUUUUUGGUAUUGAUAUAUUUAGUUGGGGUGAUUAAAAAAUUGAACAAACUUUUUUUUUAUAAUAACAUUAAUUUAUGAUUGAUUGAUCCUUAAUUUAAGAUUAUAAGAUAAAAUUACCUUAGGGAUAACAGCGUAAUUUUUUUAAAGAGUUCAAAUCGAAAGAAAAGAUUGCGACCUCGAUGUUGGAUUAAAAUAAAAUUUUGGUGUAGGGGCUAAAGUAUUUGGGUCU
This 462-nucleotide ribosomal RNA is filed under the name Catastygnus sp. 1 MVD-2017. Its description in RNAcentral is "partial 16S ribosomal RNA". It matches the Rfam family "Bacterial large subunit ribosomal RNA", at positions 1859 to 2578 of the family's 2925-position model. The record is from RNAcentral. Lineage: Eukaryota; Metazoa; Arthropoda; Insecta; Coleoptera; Curculionidae.